Molecule: ribosomal RNA, 495 nt
Filed under: uncultured bacterium
Lineage: Bacteria
Description: partial 16S ribosomal RNA
Rfam family: Bacterial small subunit ribosomal RNA
Source: RNAcentral
GACGAACGCUGGCGGCGUGCCUAAUACAUGCCAGUAGAACGCUGAAGGAGGAGCUUGCUUCUCUGGAUGAGUUGCGAACGGGUGAGUAACGCGUAGGUAACCUGCCUGGUAGCGGGGGAUAACUAUUGGAAACGAUAGCUAAUACCGCAUAAGAGUAGAUGUUGCAUGACAUUUGCUUAAAAGGUGCAAUUGCAUCACUACCAGAUGGACCUGCGUUGUAUUAGCUAGUUGGUGGGGUAACGGCUCACCAAGGCGACGAUACAUAGCCGACCUGAGAGGGGGAUCGGCCACACGGGGAAUGAGACACGGCCCAAACUCCUACGGGAGGCAGCAGUAGGGAAUCUUCGGCAAUGGGCGGAAGUCUGACCGAGCAAGGCCGCGUAAGUGAAGAAGGUUUUCGGAUCGUAAAGCUCUGUUGUAAGAGAAGAACGAGUGUGAGAGUGGAAAGUUCACACUGUGACGGUAUCUUACCAGAAAGGGACGGCUAACUACGUG